RNAcentral lists this ribosomal RNA (407 nucleotides) under uncultured bacterium. RNAcentral describes it as "bacterial SSU rRNA". It matches the Rfam family "Bacterial small subunit ribosomal RNA", at positions 355 to 774 of the family's 1533-position model. The record is from RNAcentral.
UGGGGAAUAUUGCACAAUGGGCGCAAGCCUGAUGCAGCAACGCCGUGUGAGGGACGACGGCCUUCGGGUUGUAAACCUCUUUUGGCAGGGAAGAAGCGAAAGUGACGGUACCUGCAGAAAAAGCACCGGCUAACUACGUGCCAGCAGCCGCGGUGAUACGUAGGGUGCAAGCGUUGUCCGGAAUUAUUGGGCGUAAAGAGCUCGUAGGCGGUUUGUCGCGUCUGCUGUGAAAACCCGAGGCUCAACCUCGGGCCUGCAGUGGGUACGGGCAAACUAGAGUGCGGUAGGGGACAUUGGAAUUCCUGGUGUAGCGGUGGAAUGCGCAGAUAUCAGGAGGAACACCGAUGGCGAAGGCAGAUCUCUGGGCCGUAACUGACGCUGAGGAGCGAAAGCAUGGGGAGCGAACA